AGGAUACUCUCUUGGUGUGUACUGGGUGUUAACCUCCUUUUUUCUGGUACUUGCUAUCCAGCAAUGGGUAGUUUUGUCCAGAUAGUUUACUUUGAAAAAUUAGAGUGUUCAAAGCAGGCAUAAUUGGCAUCAUGAAUACAUUAGCAUGGGAUAAUAGAAUAUGACAUUGGUCUUAUUUUGUUGGUUUCUAAGGCCAAAGUAAUGAUUGAUAGGGAUAGUUGGGGCCGCUCGUAUUGAGUUGUCAGAGGUGAAAUUCUAGGAUUUACUCAAGACGAACUAAUGCGAAAGCAUUCGGCAAGGAUGUUUUCAUUAAUCAAGAACGAAAGUUGGGGGAUCGAAGAUGAUCAGAUACCGUCGUAGUCUUAACUAUAAACUAUGCCGACCAGGGAUAUGAGUUGUUAGGAUUAUACGAAAGUAUAAUCAAUUUCUUCUUAUGGACCUUGUGAGAAAUCAUAAG
This 457-nucleotide ribosomal RNA is filed under the name uncultured eukaryote. RNAcentral's name for it is "bacterial SSU rRNA". It matches the Rfam family "Eukaryotic small subunit ribosomal RNA", at positions 654 to 1103 of the family's 1831-position model. The record is from RNAcentral.